CGCGUAGGCGGUGGGAUAAGUCGAGUGUGAAAUGCCGGGGCUCACCCCCGGAACGGCACCCGAAACUGUCUCACUAGAGGGUAGGCGGAGAAAACGGAAUUCCACAAGUAGCGGUGAAAUGCGUAGAUAUGUGGAAGAACACCGGUGGCGAAGGCGGUUUUCUAGCUUACUCCUGACGCUGAGGCGCGAAAGCAAGGGGAGCGAACA
This 207-nucleotide ribosomal RNA is filed under the name uncultured bacterium. RNAcentral describes it as "partial 16S ribosomal RNA". It matches the Rfam family "Bacterial small subunit ribosomal RNA", at positions 568 to 774 of the family's 1533-position model. The record is from RNAcentral.